CGCAAUGGGCGAAAGCCUGACGCAGCGACGCCGCGUGGGGAUGAAGGCCUUAGGGUCGUAAACCCCUUUCAGCAGGGACGAAGAUGACGGUACCUGCAGAAGAAGCCCCGGCCAACUACGUGCCAGCAGCCGCGGUAAGACGUAGGGGGCGAGCGUUGUCCGGAAUUAUUGGGCGUAAAGGGCUCGUAGGCGGUUCGGUAAGUCGGAUGUGAAAACUCAGGGCUCAACCCUGAGACGCCAUCCGAUACUGCUGUGACUUGAGUUCGGUAGAGGAGUGUGGAAUUCCUGGUGUAGCGGUGAAAUGCGCAGAUAUCAGGAGGAACACCUACGGCGAAGGCAGCACUCUGGGCCGAAACUGACGCUGAGGAGCGAAAGCGUGGGUAGCAAACAGGAUUAGAUACCCUGGUAGUCCACGCCGUAAACGGUGGGCACUAGGUGUGGGGCCUUAUCAACGGGUUCCGUGCCGAAGCUAACGCAUUAAGUGCCCCGCCUGGGGAGUACGGCCGCAAGGCUA
RNAcentral lists this ribosomal RNA (514 nucleotides) under uncultured Actinomycetes bacterium. RNAcentral describes it as "bacterial SSU rRNA". It matches the Rfam family "Bacterial small subunit ribosomal RNA", at positions 367 to 896 of the family's 1533-position model. Lineage: Bacteria; Bacillati; Actinomycetota; Actinomycetes. The record is from RNAcentral.